CCCUAUGGGGUGCACCAGGCCCCAAAGCGUGGGCAGUGUUCGAAUGGUCCCGGAUCGAUGAGAAGGCGUUCUGGACACUGUGGUCGCAGGCCCACAAACGCAAGGCUGACGCGGCGGGAGGGGACGAGAUUGCGGAGUCCAGGAAGCAAGAGGCUGAGUUGCUUGCGAUGCUCAGCGAAUUCAGCGCCGGUGUGGAGGCCAGUCUUCGGGCCGACCGCUCGAAACUCACGCGCGGAGUCUUGGCCGAUGACGCGAUCACGCCUGAGGAACUGGAGGAAUGGGCGGGAGGGC
RNAcentral lists this ribosomal RNA (291 nucleotides) under uncultured prokaryote. RNAcentral describes it as "partial 16S ribosomal RNA". The record is from RNAcentral.